AAAGAAAAGAAAAAGAAAAAAGUGGUAUGAAGCUUGUAUGGUCUAAAGUGUAUCUGUAUUGACAUGUAUAUUGCAUCAUGUGUCUUGUUAGGAUUUUUAUCUCUGAGAGGAAUCUAUUCCCCUUUCCCUUCAGGGUAUCUAUUUCUCCCUUCCUUAUCUAGUCUGGAAAGAUGUAAGAGGACCGCUCCGAAUGGAUGAUGGCGUGCCCUCUGACGAAAGUAGUAUCACACUAUCUGUAGGGGUCACCCGUGGCUAAGUAAUGUCGUUACUAUAGAUAUCUGUUAGGACCACUAUGAUUGGUACAAC
Molecule: long non-coding RNA, 306 nt
Filed under: Carica papaya (papaya)
Lineage: Eukaryota; Viridiplantae; Streptophyta; Magnoliopsida; Brassicales; Caricaceae
Description: long non-coding RNA (CPAP_LNC005604)
Source: RNAcentral